Molecule: signal recognition particle RNA, 321 nt
Filed under: Aigarchaeota archaeon
Lineage: Archaea; Thermoproteati; Nitrososphaerota
Description: signal recognition particle sRNA
Rfam family: Archaeal signal recognition particle RNA
Source: RNAcentral
UGGCGACAGGUAGGACCGGGGAGCCAGCCCUUCCCUGAACCCGAAAUGGGACAUAAUGCGGGGGUCAGCAACCUGAGGAGAGAUGUAUGCACCUCGAUCCCAUCUUGGUCAGAUCCUGUGAACGCGUGCCCAAGGGGGCCGAUGUAAAGACACUUGUCUUCCGUAGGGAAGGUCAAGAUGCCUCUUACCCGCCGAAUCGGGUUAGGCGCGGGAGCGAGCAACCCUAAGGCGAGGCAGCGGCGCUCCGUGAUCAGCACGUCGGAGGAACGAACCAGGGCAAGAACGAGACCUGUAUGCAUCGAUCCAAGGGAGCUGUCGCCA